CCUACGGGGGGCUGCAGUGGGGAAUAUUGCACAAUGGGCGGAAGCCUGAUGCAGCAACGCCGCGUGAACGAGGAAGGCCUUUGGGUCGUAAAGUUCUGUCCUAGGGAAAGAAAGCCAUGACGGUACCCUUGGAGGAAGCCCCGGCUAACUACGUGCCAGCAGCCGCGGUAAUACGUAGGGGGCAAGCGUUAUCCGGAAUUAUUGGGCGUAAAGAGUACGUAGGUGGUAAUUUAAGCGCAGGGUUUAAGGCAAUGGCUCAACUAUUGUUCGCCCUGUGAACUGGACUACUUGAGUGCAGGAGGGGAAAGCGGAAUUCCUAGUGUAGCGGUGAAAUGCGUAGAGAUUAGGAGGAACACCGGUGGCGAAGGCGGCUUUCUGGACUGCAACUGACACUGAGGUACGAAAGCGUGGGUAGCAAACAGGAUUAGAUACCCCUGUAGUC
This 442-nucleotide ribosomal RNA is filed under the name uncultured Eubacteriales bacterium. Its description in RNAcentral is "bacterial SSU rRNA". It matches the Rfam family "Bacterial small subunit ribosomal RNA", at positions 338 to 795 of the family's 1533-position model. Lineage: Bacteria; Bacillati; Bacillota; Clostridia; Eubacteriales. The record is from RNAcentral.